RNAcentral lists this ribosomal RNA (276 nucleotides) under Triticum aestivum (bread wheat). RNAcentral describes it as "partial small subunit ribosomal RNA". Lineage: Eukaryota; Viridiplantae; Streptophyta; Magnoliopsida; Poales; Poaceae. The record is from RNAcentral.
AUGUUAGAUGGUCUGGAUGACAUGGAUGGCGCCGAGGAUGUCCCUUUUGAUGAGCUCAUAGGCAUGCAAGGCUUAGUAUUUCACUUGGUUGAGAAUGCAAUUACAAUAUGUAUUACAUACAAGUCUGAUAGAUUCAAGAGAAUGAAGAGUGAAGAAUACUAUACUAUAAAUACGUCAACUACAGAUAACCCUCCCAACUACAAUGUUGCACCUGACAACCUCCUACUCGACGAGGCCAAGCUAUCUGCAAGGGACCAUGCUGCUGGACGUUCCUAA